AUUCCGGAGAGGGAGCCUGAGAAACGGCUACCACAUCUAAGGAAGGCAGCAGGCGCGUAAAUUACCCACUCCCAGUUCGGGGAGGUAGUGACGAAAAAUAACAAUACAGGACUCAUAUCCGAGGCCCUGUAAUUGGAAUGAGUACACUUUAAAUCCUUUAACAAGGACCUAUUGGAGGGCAAGUCUGGUGCCAGCAGCCGCGGUAAUUCCAGCUCCAAUAGCGUAUAUUAAAGUUGUUGCGGUUAAAACGUUCGUAGUUGAAUCUGUGCUUCAUACGGGUAGUACAACUAUAAUUGUGGAUUGUACAUUACCUUAUGUAUGCAAGCGUAUUACCGGUGGAGUUCUUAUAUGUAAUAGUACUUGUAUUAUUAUGUAUACCUCCUAUUUAAACCUGCUUCAGUGCUCUUCAUCGAGUGUUGUUGUGGGCCGGUACAGUUACUUUGAACAAAUUAGAGUGCUUAAAGCAGGCUCCAAAUGCCUGAAUAUUCUGUGCAUGGAAUAAUGAAAUAAGACCUCUGAUCUACUUUCAUUGGCUUUUUAGAUCAAGAGGUAAUGAUUAACAGAAGCAGUUUGGGGGCAUUAGUAUUACGACGCGAGAGGUGAAAUUCUUGGACCGUCGUAAGACUAACUUAAGCGAAAGCAUUUGCCAAAGAUGUUUUCAUUAAUCAAGAACGAAAGUUAGAGGUUCGAAGGCGA
This 696-nucleotide ribosomal RNA is filed under the name Xanthandrus plaumanni. RNAcentral describes it as "SSU rRNA". It matches the Rfam family "Eukaryotic small subunit ribosomal RNA", at positions 380 to 1007 of the family's 1831-position model. The record is from RNAcentral. Lineage: Eukaryota; Metazoa; Arthropoda; Insecta; Diptera; Syrphidae.